Non-coding RNA from Caenorhabditis elegans, 150 nucleotides. The record is from Ensembl. NCBI's taxonomy places the organism in Eukaryota, Metazoa, Nematoda, Chromadorea, Rhabditida, Rhabditidae.
UGAUAAUUUUUUUACUUUAAAAAUUACUGUUUCAAAAUUUUCAUUAAAAGUUGAAAUUUAUGGAAUGUCACUACGGAAGUCGGCGCCUGUAUCGAUAAAGAAAACGUGACGGAAGUGUUCAAAAAUGGUCAGAGCACAUAUUUAUUAUCA